RNAcentral lists this ribosomal RNA (253 nucleotides) under uncultured bacterium. Its description in RNAcentral is "partial 16S ribosomal RNA". It matches the Rfam family "Bacterial small subunit ribosomal RNA", at positions 524 to 776 of the family's 1533-position model. The record is from RNAcentral.
UACAGAGGUCCCGAGCGUUGUUCGGAUUCACUGGGCGUAAAGGGCGCGUAGGCGGCUUGUCAAGUCACUUGUGAAAUCUCUGGGCUUAACCCAGAACGGCCAAGUGAAACUGACAUGCUAGAGUGCAGAAGGGGCAAUCGGAAUUCUUGGUGUAGCGGUGAAAUGCGUAGAUAUCAAGAGGAACACCUGAGGUGAAGACGGGUUGCUGGGCUGACACUGACGCUGAGGCGCGAAAGCCAGGGGAGCAAACGGG